Molecule: long non-coding RNA, 504 nt
Filed under: Pogona vitticeps (central bearded dragon)
Lineage: Eukaryota; Metazoa; Chordata; Lepidosauria; Squamata; Agamidae
Description: lncRNA (ENSPVIG00000013408.1)
Source: RNAcentral
UCAGUAGAUUCAUACUAACUUAUUCUACAUUGAACUCUCUCAAAGUUCCACACUCUCAACUGUCUCUCUUAACUCCUGACUCUCUAACUGCCUUCUCACGUCAGCCUCUCCUCUGACUCUCCAACUGCUCCAAAGUCCAAAGAAUUGAAUCGCUGUCGGUGGUGCAUACAGCACAUGUUCUUUGGAAAAUAAAUUCUAAAACACUUCAGCAUGAUGGAAAGAGAGAAUCAGGAUGUGGCCCCCAAUGUUGUUUGAUUGCAACUUUCAUCAGCCCUGGCUAGUAUAACCAUGGAAAGAGUUUGUGGCUAUUGCAUCUGACCAUACAUAAAUAUUUCAAGGGAUACCUGGUUCCCAUCUUUGCUUUAGGUUUGUAAAUUGUUUUCUAAUCUAUAAGAGUAAAUGGGACUCUGAAUAUUAGGAAAUAUUAUUAAAGAUAUUUAGAACUCUCAAAUUCAGAUUUGGAUAUAUUUGGAACUAUCUGAAUAGAGAAUUGUUCAGUAAAUU